Molecule: ribosomal RNA, 255 nt
Filed under: uncultured bacterium
Lineage: Bacteria
Description: partial 16S ribosomal RNA
Rfam family: Bacterial small subunit ribosomal RNA
Source: RNAcentral
UACGUAGGGGGCAAGCGUUUGUCCGGAUUUAUUGGGCGUAAAGAGCGUGUAGGCGGCCAGACAGGUCAGCUGUGAAAACUCGAGGCUCAACCUCGAGACGUCGGUUGAAACCGUCUGGCUAGAGUCCGGAAGAGGAGAGUGGAAUUCCCGGUGUAGCGGUGAAAUGCGCAGAUAUCGGGAAGAACACCCGUGGCGAAGGCGGCUCUCUGGGACGGUACUGACGCUGAGACGCGAAAGCGUGGGGAGCGAACGAGG